Molecule: ribosomal RNA, 253 nt
Filed under: uncultured bacterium
Lineage: Bacteria
Description: partial 16S ribosomal RNA
Rfam family: Bacterial small subunit ribosomal RNA
Source: RNAcentral
UACGGAGGGUGCAAGCGUUAUCUGGAUUUACUGGGUUUAAAGGGUGCGUAGGUGGGUCUGUAAGUCAGUGGUGAAAUCUCCGGGCUUAACCCGGAAACUGCCAUUGAUACUAUAGGUCUUGAAUAUCCUGGAGGUGAGCGGAAUAUGUCAUGUAGCGGUGAAAUGCUUAGAUAUGACAUAGAACACCAAUUGCGAAGGCAGCUCACUACGGGAUUAUUGACACUGAGGCACGAAAGCGUGGGGAUCAAACAGG